Molecule: long non-coding RNA, 485 nt
Filed under: Mytilus galloprovincialis (Mediterranean mussel)
Lineage: Eukaryota; Metazoa; Mollusca; Bivalvia; Mytilida; Mytilidae
Source: RNAcentral
AAAAUUGGAUAAAUUGUUCAAUUUGUUUGGUACGUAUGAUCUUGAUACCUGUCCUACUGACCACACUUUCCCAGAAGUAAAUAUUAUAACAUAUAUACAAGAUACCAUGACCAUCUGACGCGCCUUUAAUUUUCAGAUGGUUUAUUGCUUUUACUUUUCAGAAGGUUUGUUGCCUUUAAUUUUUAGAUGGUUUAUUGCCUUUAAUUUUCAGAUUAUUAUGUUCAUCCGUUUUAUCCGUUACGCUUCCGUUAGGUGUCCGUUUUAUCCGGUACUCGUCCGUUGGAUGUACGUUCGACGUCCGUUCUGUCCGAUAGGUAUCCGUUUCACGUGCGUUCAAUGUCCGUUGUGUGUCCGUUAGGCAUUCGUUACAUGUCCGCUAGUACACCAACGGACACCCAACGGAUAAAAAGUUUGUCAACGGAUAACUUUUUUUUAUCCGUUAGGCGUCCGUCCGAGCUAUCCGGUAAGGUGUGACCGAGGCUUAA